GAGUGGACUCCUACGGGAGGCAGCAGUGGGGAAUAUUGCACAAUGGGCGAAAGCCUGAUGCAGCAACGCCGCGUGAACGAUGAAGGUCUUCGGAUCGUAAAGUUCUGUUGCAGGGGAAGAUAAUGACGGUACCCUGUGAGGAAGCCCCGGCUAACUACGUGCCAGCAGCCGCGGUAAUACGUAGGGGGCUAGCGUUAUCCGGAUUUACUGGGCGUAAAGGGUGCGUAGGUGGUCCUUCAAGUCGGUGGUUAAAGGCUACGGCUCAACCGUAGUAAGCCGCCGAAACUGGAGGACUUGAGUGCAGGAGAGGAAAGUGGAAUUCCCAGUGUAGCGGUGAAAUGCGUAGAUAUUGGGAGGAACACCAGUAGCGAAGGCGGCUUUCUGGACUGCAACUGACACUGAGGCACGAAAGCGUGGGUAGCAAACAGGAUUAGAUACCCUUGUAGUCCGA
Molecule: ribosomal RNA, 451 nt
Filed under: uncultured bacterium
Lineage: Bacteria
Description: bacterial SSU rRNA
Rfam family: Bacterial small subunit ribosomal RNA
Source: RNAcentral